GAAAAAUGGGAAUGCGUGGGAAGUAUGGUGGAUGGCCAUGUAUGGUGUAAGAAAUGGGUAUUAAAAGGUGAAGGUAUGGUGGUGAGAAUAUGGAUAUGGUGAGGGGUGUGAUGGCGAGUUUUGAUGAGGUAUGAGAAUGGAAAUGGAUGGUGGACAUGUUAAUGGGUAUUGGAAGAUAUGGGAUAUGAUUAGUGAGAUGAGUAGUGGGAUAUAGUGAGAGAAACGGGUGGUGAUGUGUUGGGUAUGAGGGGUGGUGAACAUGAAGGGU
Molecule: long non-coding RNA, 268 nt
Filed under: Vitis vinifera (wine grape)
Lineage: Eukaryota; Viridiplantae; Streptophyta; Magnoliopsida; Vitales; Vitaceae
Description: long non-coding RNA (VVIN_LNC001887)
Source: RNAcentral